UUAGUUUCUACUCCUGUGGUAACAGAGUAGUUAGAAGUCUGAAUUUCACAAUUUUCAGAGGAAAAGUUGAUUAAGUACGCUUUGACUGGGAAUUUCCGCCAUAAAACUACUUUCUUAGUGUUAAAAGGGAAGUUAUUUCUAAACCUUUGUAGAAUUCACAGUUUUGCCCACACCCAUAAAUAGGAACUAAAGGCAGCGACAAGCAGAUGUUCAUGCCUGGUGUUUUCAGCUCAUUUGGUGCUUAAAAAUGAUUUUUUUAGCCUGAAAAGAUACCCGUCUGUCCGGACAUAUCAACUGGAUCCUCAACCAAAUACUGAAGGAUCUCCUUUAAUGAUCUAACCCAGAAAAUGUACUAAAAUAUCUGCAGCGAGCAUGAGCAGAAACACCGGAAGAGAAAGAGACGGGUGGAACUACAAUCAAACCUGGAGCUGCCAUCUUUGCUCAAGAGGUUUCAGCUACAAAAUCAGCGAUGAACAUUAAAAGUUCAACAAUCAGAUUAGGGCUGCACGGUGGCCUAGUUGGUAGCACUGUUGCCUUGCAGCAAGAAGGUCCUGGGUUCAACUCCUGGCCGAGGGUCUGCAUGUUCUCACCGGGUACUCCGGCUUCCUCCCACAGUCAAAAGACAUGCCUGUUUGGUUAAUUGGUCUCUCUAAAUUGCCCUAAGGUGUGUGCAUGGCAGUUUGUGUGUUACCCUGCGAUGGACUGGCGAUCUGUCCAGGGUGUAACGCACCUCUUGUGGAUAGGCACCAGAUUCCCCAAGACCCACUAUGGAAGAAGAGGUAGAAAAUGACUGGCUGACAAUCAGAUUAUCAAAAACUAUGUAAAAAAGUUGUCCAAUCUAUCAUUACACUGGAAGCCAUGUUUAUAUUAGGAAAUUAAAAUGUAAAAUAUCACAUCUCAAUGACCACUUGUAAUUGAAAAUAUGUCAAACUUCUAACAGUUUUGGUACAUAUAAAACUGUAUGAGAUCAGGCUGAAGAUUGACAGAAUAAUCCCAUUUUCUUAAAUAGUUUAGUGUUUUAUAUACUAAAAGGAAAAAAAUCCUUUAACAUUUUAAAGAAUUCAAAAGCUUUGCUUCAUGGCUCCCAGAUCAUGUUCCUUCCCGACUUGCACGUUAAGUGCAAGUGUGGUUCCUGAACAUCCUAACCCGUUUGCUUUUACCUGAUGAAGACAGUUUGGGCUGGAUGAAUAAAACUUGGGCACAACUGAGAUUCCAGCAAAAGAACAAUUAUAAAGAACAUUUAUCUCAGCUUUUUUUGAGGACUUCCAUUAAGGUUCCUGAAAAGUCUCCUUAAAACCCUGACAUCAAACCUAGUAAAAGUUUAUAGGCCAUGCAGAAAACCAGGUCUGUGGUCAGAAACCAACCAGUUUAAAUUACCUACAUCAAUUCUGCCAAGAAGAGUGGCCAAAUAACCAGCCAAUAUUAUGUUGAAGAUUACUGAUGACUAGAAAAGGUUGUGGUGCAACUUGCUGAUGCAUAUUAAUCAAAAUAUUAAUACACAAGACUGUAAAACAUUGACCCAGAGUAGGCUAAAAUAAACCCACAAUAAAUUUUA
Molecule: long non-coding RNA, 1555 nt
Organism: Girardinichthys multiradiatus
Lineage: Eukaryota; Metazoa; Chordata; Actinopteri; Cyprinodontiformes; Goodeidae
Exons: 2
Source: RefSeq, a predicted model, not a curated record